UACGGGAGGCAGCAGUGGGGAAUAUUGCACAAUGGGCGCAAGCCUGAUGCAGCCAUGCCGCGUGUAUGAAGAAGGCCUUCGGGUUGUAAAGUACUUUCAGUCGUGAGGAAGGUGUUAAGGUUAAUAACCUUAGCAAUUGACGUUAGCGACAGAAGAAGCACCGGCUAACUCCGUGCCAGCAGCCGCGGUAAUACGGAGGGUGCGAGCGUUAAUCGGAAUUACUGGGCGUAAAGGGCACGCAGGCGGUUAAUUAAGUUGGAUGUGAAAUCCCCGGGCUUAACCUGGGAAUGGCAUUCAAGACUGGUUAGCUAGAGUCUUGUAGAGGGGGAUAGAAUUCCAUGUGUAGCGGUGAAAUGCGUAGAGAUGUGGAGGAAUACCGGUGGCGAAGGCGGCCCCUGGGACAAAGACUGACGCUCAUGUGCGAAAGCGUGGGGAGCAAACAGGGAUUAGAUACC
This 455-nucleotide ribosomal RNA is filed under the name uncultured bacterium. RNAcentral's name for it is "bacterial SSU rRNA". It matches the Rfam family "Bacterial small subunit ribosomal RNA", at positions 340 to 786 of the family's 1533-position model. The record is from RNAcentral.